This is a long non-coding RNA of Mandrillus leucophaeus (drill), 1479 nucleotides long. RefSeq lists it as uncharacterized. NCBI's taxonomy places the organism in Eukaryota, Metazoa, Chordata, Mammalia, Primates, Cercopithecidae. The record is from RefSeq and is a predicted model, not a curated record. The transcript has 2 exons.
GGCAAUGUAUCAGGAACACAGAGGUUGGAUUCUGCUACAGUCAGGACUUACUCCUGCUAAAGUCUCCUGUUGUUUACCCACACUACUUCUACCGAUGAUUACGCAGCAUUUGAAUCCAACAAAGACUACAUUUUAGAAUCCAAUGGAAUCUUUAAUCUGUUAAUACUUGUUAUAUGGACCCUAAGAUAUUUUAUUACAGAGUUUUUAAUUAGUGAAAAAUUCAUGAAUACCAUAGAGAAAAUAUUUUAGAAUUUAAUGUUUCUUAUAUUUAUGUAAACUUAUGACUCUUCAUUUAUAUAGUUACUUACUUUUUCAUGUAUAUCCAGGCUAUAAAUAUCCUUUCAAAUCAUGUUCUUAUACCUAAUUUUAGUCUUUCAAAUGAAUGUACUGUAAUGCUUGUAUGUAUAAAUCCUAUGAACAAAUAGAGGGCUUUUGUAAAUUAUGCAUUUAUUGUAAUUAUCAUUAAUUUUUUAAUGAUAAACCAUGAAAAGGAUUUUACUACAUUUAUAAAAUUACGACAGAAGCAAUGUGCAUUAUCCUUUACAGAUGCAGCCUAGCUCUACAGCAAUCAUUCUGAAAUAAGCGUACCUAAUUUCAAGCAAUUGUAUUUUAAUGACUGACCUUAACUAUACUUUUUCUAGUAAGAAAUGCUUUAUUCUGCAGCAUGAACAGAUUUAAAAUAGCUGGUGUUAAAUAUCAGCUCCUAAUAAAAUGUGGACUGAAAAGACUAUCACAACAGUAUGAGAAGCCCCUAGCACUGGUUAACGCUUUCCUAGCCUAGUCUCUGGAUUUGGGGAGCUUGUCUUCAGUGGCUGACAGAGACCGUGAGCUGGGAGCAGUUCUCUCAGCUGGAGAGACUCGGGAUGGGGUAACCUGGGGACCAGCCCAGCCCCUGCGCCCUCUUCCCUGCCUCUGCUCCUUGGGAGCCGGUGGAGAGACACCCAUGUAGCUCCCCUUAGGGCCAGCCACCAAGCACCACGCGCUCAUUCUGCAAGUCGGCGCACACAGCGGAUGAAGGCAGGAGACCCAGAAAGCAGUGCAGUGCAGCUCUAAUAAAGGCCUUAUUUUUCUUAUGUAAAUCAUCUUUUUACAUUUGUUUGUAAACAUGUUUAAAGAAUGAACCUAGUGGGACAUUUUUAGACCUCGAUGUUAUAGCCAUUUUGGAUUGUGUAAGUUGCAGAUGUGGCUUUUACUUUUUCAAUGGCAUAUUAAAAAGCCAGCAAAGCGUGUCAGACCAUGGCGUGGUAUUUCCUGUGCAGCAGAUACAGAGGUGGAGGCAGCCUGUCUUUUCACAGUUGGUUUCUGCUUUUAAUUUACUUGUACAAUUCAUUGUUACUGUUCUGUUUUUCUAUUAAUCUUUUGUGAACUUCCUGAUUAUGUAACAAAGUAUGUACAGUCUACUUUUGAACUAUUUUUAUCACAGUAUUAUUUAUUGCUUUCUUUCAAUAAAGUACUGAAGCAUUUUCCACUGCCAAUGAA